Long non-coding RNA from Mercenaria mercenaria, 1043 nucleotides. RefSeq lists it as uncharacterized. The transcript is spliced from 4 exons. The record is from RefSeq and is a predicted model, not a curated record. NCBI's taxonomy places the organism in Eukaryota, Metazoa, Mollusca, Bivalvia, Venerida, Veneridae.
CACUGAAACUAUGGGAUGUUAAGUCAUGGCUAGAAUCUUCACUAACAAAAGUAAAAGGCGUCAGUGAACCGUUACAUUUUAAAAUUACGAAAACAUCUGGAAAAAUAAAGGUUGUUUAUAAAGGGCAACAGCAUCAGUUAUGGACUGUGUUAGAUGGCAGAGGUACUUUUCUCAGAAAUCUACCAACUUCAAAAAUAAAACAGUUAAAACCAAACUAUAAAAACAUUCUAGAAAAAAUUGAGACAAUUAAAAAACAAAUCAGUGCAAUUAGUUACAUGUUUGAAAGCAGUGAAAAUCAUCUUUGGUGGAAAGCUUUUUUGGAGAAAAUAAAUACAGUGAUGCCAAUGAGAACAAAAGAGGACAUUAUAUGGAUUACUCAACUACCAAAACAGCAAAAAAAACAACAAAGAAACAUUAAAGACAACCUGGAUCCAAUACUUAGAAAGAUGUUGGAAAAGGAAACACUAAAAGUAGACCUGUGUUAUCCUGUGAAAAAAGACGAAAUUUAAAAACUAGCCGAGGGAAGCAGAAGUCGAAAAAAAAACAGAGCGUAUCCACGGAGGAAGAAGUGGUGUUAACCGUCAAAGCACUGUAGUACAGGUCAAUAGAAAAAAAACUAAAUCAACAACACCAGCAGUGCCAAAGAGAAACAGACAAACAGGAAGGCGAAUCAUGAGAUGGAAUAGCUCAAGAUGGAUCACCAUACUCACUGAUGAUGAGAGGAAAAGACACAUAGGGUUGAUAAUCAUCUUCGAACUUCUGGGACAUUUACUACUGUACAUUAUCUAUGUUUUAAUAAUGACCAGAUGUAUCAAAGAACUUUUUGUUAUGAUGGACAGAGUUUGGAAAGCUAUUUUGUUAGCACACUUGGGUCAAUUUCUGUGUGUUCUUACAGUAAACACAUACUUGGAACACUUUUGUUUUGUGUUUUGUAAUGUUAAAAAGUCAUUUCCGUGCAGUUUAUUGGUUUCGUAUCCUUCCAGGCAUUCACUUAGUAUUACGCAAUAAACAGAUCAGCACAUUUUUAAUAUCACUGGAAGACA